Molecule: long non-coding RNA, 986 nt
Organism: Nicotiana attenuata
Lineage: Eukaryota; Viridiplantae; Streptophyta; Magnoliopsida; Solanales; Solanaceae
Exons: 2
Source: RefSeq, a predicted model, not a curated record
UUGAAAAAGAAGAGAGUAAUUAAGAAAGUCUUAUUACUAUAUUUACAUCAUUAGAAAUGUUUUAUAUUCUCAAUUUUGGACAUUUACAUGAUUUAGAAAUUUUUGUAAAGUUCAUUAUAUUAUAGUGUUUGGAGCUCAAAUCGUGGUUGAGUAUUGAUUUUGUAAGAUUUGGAUGGUGAAAAUUAGAUUAGAAAUGUACCUCCACCAUUGUUGAACAAGCGUAAAGAAGUGGAUUUGAAUUGUGGAUCUAACUUGUGUGAAAAAUUUGAAGUUGGUGUUGUUUAGAUUUGUUGGAAAUUGUUGGAGAAAAAAAAUAUAUGCGAGUUUAAACUGAUAGCUACAUGGAUGCACUGUGUUAUGUUAGGCUGUAUAUUUAUGCAAAUUUCCCUUUUUGAAAACCUGGACUAUUGAUCCAUAGAGUCCAUUUCUUCCAUAGCUUAUGCUCUUUCGAAGCGUUUACGUAAUCUUGCCUCUUUCGUGUUAUAUUGCUCGAGUGAGUUAUUUUGUUUUAUGUUUAACAUUCUAUGCCUCCCUGACAUUCAAAGGGUCUGGUAUUCCUUUGAAUAAUAUGCGAGUGGGUGCAGAUAUAUGAUGCAGAAAUGCUCUUAAAGGUUCCUUUUUCAGGUCUUAUAUUGAAGCGUCCUCACAGACGCAUACCUAUACAUGAAGAUAGUAGAUUAGCGCUUAAAGAGACUAAGGAGGAGGCCAUGGUUAUUCAAUAUUCACCAGAAAAAGAUGAAACACAACUUCACCGUCUUCAUCAAACAGCGCAAUACUUCACCAAAAGCUGCAUUUUGUUCUGAUUUGUGUAUCUAUGAAGGCGUUUCAGGCUUUUCUUUCACAUCUCAAGAGUUAUAAUUGGUGUAGAGAUAUGUUCAAGAUUACAUUUUAAAUUAGACUCAUGUUUGCUUAAAGUUGGUGUGUGUUGGUAGUUGCCACCUAUGUUCCCUAAUCAUCGCUUCAACCUCUAUGAACUAUUUUUCACA